Ictalurus furcatus (blue catfish) is the source of this 600-nucleotide long non-coding RNA. RefSeq lists it as uncharacterized. Lineage: Eukaryota; Metazoa; Chordata; Actinopteri; Siluriformes; Ictaluridae. The record is from RefSeq and is a predicted model, not a curated record. The transcript has 3 exons.
UCCUCUCAUACAACUGACAAAUUCACUAUAGUUUGCUGUUGCUUUAGUCUCAUACUCUCUGGUUUAACUGUGGUUAUUUAUGGUAACUCUGAACGCUGAUACGACCAUGAUUUUACUGCCAUACUUCAUAGUUACCAUGGUUAGCAUCUGUUUAACCAGAACAUUACCAGUUCAGUAUGGUGCUUUAUGGUAAUAAUAUAUUUUUGUUUGCAGACAACACCUUCAACUCAACCGUAUGGAGAGCGAUAGUGAAACUGGAACAGGGGAGAACUCUAGGAACUUGGUCUGUAGCUCUGGAUGGCUCCUGUUUUGUGCAAAAGUUGUUGAAUAGCAGGGAGAAGAUGAGAAGAUGUGCACCAAGCAACAGUAAGAAAACAGUGAGGGAAAAGCCUGGUGAGAACAAUGCUCAAUAAUAAACAGCUUGUCCAUGUUUUGCUGACCAGUGAGACCACAGUCUGACCUUCUUGUUUUCUACUGGCUCAUGAGACUGAGGUUCAUGAAUUCACAGGUCGAUGUUCAACUAAAGGAAGUCAGUCUGAAGGAAAAACCCGUCUCCCAGCUGCUCUGCAGCUCCUGUUACGACCCAUCAUACAUCACUCA